This is a long non-coding RNA of Papaver somniferum (opium poppy), 1741 nucleotides long. RefSeq lists it as uncharacterized. Lineage: Eukaryota; Viridiplantae; Streptophyta; Magnoliopsida; Ranunculales; Papaveraceae. The transcript has 10 exons. The record is from RefSeq and is a predicted model, not a curated record.
GCAUCUCUUUUAUCCAUUUUUCAUAUCCUCGUUGAAGUCAGAAACUCAGAAGUAAUCACUUCAAUCUUUGCUCCUAAACCCAAACCCCUUUCUCAUUUUCUCAAUCUUCUCCUAAAAGCCCAAAUUUAAACCGAAAGAUAACAACAACGAUUUGUUUGUAAUUAAACAAACCCCUUACAUCGCCUUGUACCAAGAAAUAAAACUGGUCGAUCUGAAUCGAUUCAGUAUGCUGAGGGUCUUACCAAGGUUGAUGGAAAAUCUGAUCACAUGGAUAAACAGUCAUAGAAGAAACAAAAGGGGUUCUGGACUAUAUAGGUGAUAUUCAAUUUGAACGACCUAAAGUCUGCAGGGGUGAAGCAAAAGUUGGAAUGGCUAAAGAAAUUAAAAUUAGGAGAAAAAGCUCCAUCUGUACAAUUAAAACCGGGUUACUCACUUCUCUUAACAUUUCUAGAAUCUUAACUGAGUACUUUAUCGUUCAGAGUGAAGUCCGUGUUGUUUCUGUUGUGUAGAUACUUAGUGAUGAGAUACUUUUGCUAUGUAGGAGAGGAAUCUAUCUGGCAGGUUAGGAUCUUAGUGGAGCAAGGAAGAGCUUACAUUCUUUUAUGAAGAGUAUGGAAAGACUGGAAAAAGGCAUAAUUAUAUCUUCCACAAGGGAUGUGAUCAGUAGAUGGGUUAACAACAAGGAUGACAGACCAUUACAGUAUUCUGGCUGGAGUGAUGGAUCUGUGAUUGGGUCAGGGUCGAAGGCCUAAAUGUUAGUGCUUAUGAAGAUCCAUAUGUGUUCAUUGCAUCUGCGAAUCAAGCUCCACUAACUUCAAAAUCUGUAGAAAACAACUAGUAUUGGGAUGGAGAUCAGGAAAUAAGCUAAAACCAAGGAUUUCAGAACUGUCAUCGAGAACUUUUUUGACCUUGCUGGUAGGGGAAGAGCUACUCAGACACAUGCAUACUGGGCUAGGCUAAGGGAAGGUUGCCACAUUAACCUUAUUCUAAUGACUCCGACUACAGUAAUCAUAAAGAUCAGUGCUGGAAAAAGAAGUGGCGAUAUUCCUUACAAGGAUUCAAAUGUCACACGCAUAUUACAACACUCACUUGUUGGGAAUGCUCGUAGGGCCAUCAUAUGUACGCUUAGUUCAACAAUGAGUCACUUUGAACAAUCUGCCAACACUCUCUCCUUUUCCACCCGUGCAAAGGAAGUCACUGACAAUGCCAAAGUGAAUAUGGUUGUGUCAGAAAAAUAAUUAGUUAAACAGUUAAACACUUGCAAAAAGAAGUAGGUAGACUUGAAGCGGAGAUGACAACUCCAGAUCCAUCUGCGCGUUCAGAUACAAAUGCUUUAUUUAGGGAAAAGGAUUUUGAUGAUUUCUACUUGAAUUAUUAUUAGCAAGCCAGAUUUCUACUCCGUUUUCCUACCCCUUAUGACCAAUUUUAGAGUUUCUGUAGAAGAUUCUUUGCUUUGUCAUUUUAUAUUUCGUUUUGGAUAGAACUACUAGAUAGCAUUUGUUAGGCCACUUAUUAAAAUAGAAACUUGAAGAAAACUUGUGCGCAAUUUACGCUUUUAUGAAAAAUGUAAAAGGGUUGGUUGUUGUUUCUUUCAUUGGAUAUGUUAUAUCUUAAUUAUCAGUAGGUGUAACUGCUCUUGUUCUCCUCCGACAACUAUUUACCUUAAGAACUUGCAGAGAUAUGUAAUGUUUGUGGUGUUAAAGAAAAAUGUAUAUGGUCGACAAUUGUAUGAUAUAAAUCU